AGCGUACACGGUGGAUGCCCUGGCAGUCAGAGGCGAUGAAGGACGUGCUAAUCUGCGAUAAGCGUCGGUAAGGUGAUAUGAACCGUUAUAACCGGCGAUUUCCGAAUGGGGAAACCCAGUGUGUUUCGACACACUAUCAUUAACUGAAUCCAUAGGUUAAUGAGGCGAACCGGGGGAACUGAAACAUCUAAGUACCCCGAGGAAAAGAAAUCAACCGAGAUUCCCCCAGUAGCGGCGAGCGAACGGGGAGCAGCCCAGAGCCUGAAUCAGUGUGUGUGUUAGUGGAAGCGUCUGGAAAGGCGCGCGAUACAGGGUGACAGCCCCGUACACAAAAAUGCACAUGCUGUGAGCUCGAUGAGUAGGGCGGGACACGUGGUAUCCUGUCUGAAUAUGGGGGGACCAUCCUCCAAGGCUAAAUACUCCUGACUGACCGAUAGUGAACCAGUACCGUGAGGGAAAGGCGAAAAGAACCCCGGCGAGGGGAGUGAAAAAGAACCUGAAACCGUGUACGUACAAGCAGUGGGAGCACGCUUAGGCGUGUGACUGCGUACCUUUUGUAUAAUGGGUCAGCGACUUAUAUUCUGUAGCAAGGUUAACCGAAUAGGGGAGCCGAAGGGAAACCGAGUCUUAACUGGGCGUUAAGUUGCAGGGUAUAGACCCGAAACCCGGUGAUCUAGCCAUGGGCAGGUUGAAGGUUGGGUAACACUAACUGGAGGACCGAACCGACUAAUGUUGAAAAAUUAGCGGAUGACUUGUGGCUGGGGGUGAAAGGCCAAUCAAACCGGGAGAUAGCUGGUUCUCCCCGAAAGCUAUUUAGGUAGCGCCUCGUGAAUUCAUCUCCGGGGGUAGAGCACUGUUUCGGCAAGGGGGUCAUCCCGACUUACCAACCCGAUGCAAACUGCGAAUACCGGAGAAUGUUAUCACGGGAGACACACGGCGGGUGCUAACGUCCGUCGUGAAGAGGGAAACAACCCAGACCGCCAGCUAAGGUCCCAAAGUCAUGGUUAAGUGGGAAACGAUGUGGGAAGGCCCAGACAGCCAGGAUGUUGGCUUAGAAGCAGCCAUCAUUUAAAGAAAGCGUAAUAGCUCACUGGUCGAGUCGGCCUGCGCGGAAGAUGUAACGGGGCUAAACCAUGCACCGAAGCUGCGGCAGCGACGCUGAUGCGUUGUUGGGUAGGGGAGCGUUCUGUAAGCCUGUGAAGGUGUACUGUGAGGUAUGCUGGAGGUAUCAGAAGUGCGAAUGCUGACAUAAGUAACGAUAAAGCGGGUGAAAAGCCCGCUCGCCGGAAGACCAAGGGUUCCUGUCCAACGUUAAUCGGGGCAGGGUGAGUCGACCCCUAAGGCGAGGCCGAAAGGCGUAGUCGAUGGGAAACAGGUUAAUAUUCCUGUACUUGGUGUUACUGCGAAGGGGGGACGGAGAAGGCUAUGUUGGCCGGGCGACGGUUGUCCCGGUUUAAGCGUGUAGGCUGGUUUUCCAGGCAAAUCCGGAAAAUCAAGGCUGAGGCGUGAUGACGAGGCACUACGGUGCUGAAGCAACAAAUGCCCUGCUUCCAGGAAAAGCCUCUAAGCAUCAGGUAACAUCAAAUCGUACCCCAAACCGACACAGGUGGUCAGGUAGAGAAUACCAAGGCGCUUGAGAGAACUCGGGUGAAGGAACUAGGCAAAAUGGUGCCGUAACUUCGGGAGAAGGCACGCUGAUAUGUAGGUGAAGUCCCUCGCGGAUGGAGCUGAAAUCAGUCGAAGAUACCAGCUGGCUGCAACUGUUUAUUAAAAACACAGCACUGUGCAAACACGAAAGUGGACGUAUACGGUGUGACGCCUGCCCGGUGCCGGAAGGUUAAUUGAUGGGGUUAGCGCAAGCGAAGCUCUUGAUCGAAGCCCCGGUAAACGGCGGCCGUAACUAUAACGGUCCUAAGGUAGCGAAAUUCCUUGUCGGGUAAGUUCCGACCUGCACGAAUGGCGUAAUGAUGGCCAGGCUGUCUCCACCCGAGACUCAGUGAAAUUGAACUCGCUGUGAAGAUGCAGUGUACCCGCGGCAAGACGGAAAGACCCCGUGAACCUUUACUAUAGCUUGACACUGAACAUUGAGCCUUGAUGUGUAGGAUAGGUGGGAGGCUUUGAAGUGUGGACGCCAGUCUGCAUGGAGCCGACCUUGAAAUACCACCCUUUAAUGUUUGAUGUUCUAACGUUGACCCGUGAUCCGGGUUGCGGACAGUGUCUGGUGGGUAGUUUGACUGGGGCGGUCUCCUCCUAAAGAGUAACGGAGGAGCACGAAGGUUGGCUAAUCCUGGUCGGACAUCAGGAGGUUAGUGCAAUGGCAUAAGCCAGCUUGACUGCGAGCGUGACGGCGCGAGCAGGUGCGAAAGCAGGUCAUAGUGAUCCGGUGGUUCUGAAUGGAAGGGCCAUCGCUCAACGGAUAAAAGGUACUCCGGGGAUAACAGGCUGAUACCGCCCAAGAGUUCAUAUCGACGGCGGUGUUUGGCACCUCGAUGUCGGCUCAUCACAUCCUGGGGCUGAAGUAGGUCCCAAGGGUAUGGCUGUUCGCCAUUUAAAGUGGUACGCGAGCUGGGUUUAGAACGUCGUGAGACAGUUCGGUCCCUAUCUGCCGUGGGCGCUGGAGAACUGAGGGGGGCUGCUCCUAGUACGAGAGGACCGGAGUGGACGCAUCACUGGUGUUCGGGUUGUCAUGCCAAUGGCACUGCCCGGUAGCUAAAUGCGGAAGAGAUAAGUGCUGAAAGCAUCUAAGCACGAAACUUGCCCCGAGAUGAGUUCUCCCUGACUCCUUGA
RNAcentral lists this ribosomal RNA (2787 nucleotides) under human gut metagenome. Its description in RNAcentral is "bacterial LSU rRNA". It matches the Rfam family "Bacterial large subunit ribosomal RNA". The record is from RNAcentral.